This 7691-nucleotide unclassified non-coding RNA is filed under the name Lytechinus variegatus (green sea urchin). RNAcentral's name for it is "ribosomal protein S6 kinase beta-1-like, transcript variant X1". The record is from RNAcentral. Lineage: Eukaryota; Metazoa; Echinodermata; Echinoidea; Temnopleuroida; Toxopneustidae.
UACGAAAAAAAAAAAACGCCGGUUAUGCGCCAUUUUCUUCCGGGAAUUCACCGGGAAGAGAUUCAUUCAUUCGUAGUGCGACUGAUCUCCGACGAUUACGGAGCGGGCAAUGUCGGAUUUGUGUAGCAGAUGUUCCUUUUUUAAUUCCACAUUUGGUGACGUAUCUGCUGGCUGAAAAUUGAAACUUGAAAGGCCAUGAUGGCGGGACACGCCGGCGUGUUCGAUUUGGAGUUAUGUGAGCAUGAUGAGAAGGGCAACGAGCUCCUGAGUGACAGCGAUGACAUGCACGAAGAGGGUGCGGAGGGUGACAGCUAUCUCAGUGUUGGGUCUGAAGGAGCUUAUGAGUCAAUUGAAGUUGAAGAGGUAUCUCUUUCAGAGGAGACUGUGAAUCCAGGAAGAGAGAAAGUUGGACCAGAAGAUUUCCAGCUUCUUAAAGUACUAGGGAAGGGAGGCUACGGCAAGGUUUUCCAGGUUCGGAAAACGACGGGUAAAGACUCAGGGAAAAUAUUUGCAAUGAAAGUUUUAAAGAAGGCAAAGAUUGUGAGGAACCAGAAGGAUACGGCUCACACCAAGGCUGAGCGUAACAUUCUUGAGGCUGUGCAGCAUCCAUUUAUUGUUAACCUUCACUAUGCCUUCCAGACGGGCGGAAAGUUGUACCUCAUCCUAGCCUAUCUCAGUGGAGGAGAAUUAUUUAUGCAUCUAGAGAGAGAAGGAAUAUUUAUGGAAGAUACAGCAUGUUUUUAUCUAUCAGAGAUAGUUUUAGCAUUAGAGCAUCUACACAAACUAGGUAUCAUCUACAGAGAUUUAAAACCAGAGAAUAUUAUGCUUAAUAAACAAGGUCAUGUUGUGUUAACAGACUUUGGUCUGUGUAAGGAAUCUUUAGAAGAAGGGUCUAUGACACAUACCUUCUGUGGCACAAUAGAAUAUAUGGCUCCUGAGAUUGUAAGUCGGAGUGGACAUGGUAAAGACGUCGACUGGUGGAGUCUAGGGGCACUUAUGUAUGACAUGCUCACUGGAGGACCUCCAUUCACAGCAGAGAACAGAAAGAAAACCAUUGAGAAAAUUCUAAAAGGAAAACUCAAUCUACCUCCUUACCUCACACAUGAAGCCAGAGAUCUUGUUAGAAAGUUACUGAAGAGGCAUGUUUCGUCAAGGCUAGGCAGCGGUGUAGACGAUGCAACCAGAAUCAAAACACAUUUUUUCUUCAGAAAUGUCAGAUGGGAUGAUAUCCUAGCAAGGAAGGCAGAACCUCCUAUUACUCCUGCUGUGGUAAAUGAGGAAGAUGUGAGUCAAUUUGACUCCAAGUUUACCAAGCAGACACCAGUAGAUAGUCCCGAUGAUUCUAUGCUUAGUGAAAGUGCCAAUCAGAUCUUCCUAGGUUUCACCUAUGUAGCGCCCUCUGUGUUGGAGAGCAUGCAUCAGAAAGUCCAUCAUUUUACCAAAGUGCGGUCACCUCGUAAGAUUCCUGGGAGUAUAAGUCCUAGGUCUGCAAUCAGUCCUGCCAAGACACCUCAGACUCAAUUUGCCUUUGAUGAAGAUCUAUUGUCCAAGCCUUCUUCCAGCCACACUGCUGCUUCAGCUCAUCACAUCCAACCGAUAGAGGAAGCCAUGGACACCAGUGAUGCUUCUAACGCUACCGCAACGGCAACAUCAGGAUAUAGAUGAGGAGGAGUUGGGUAGAUAGGGAAAUUAGCUAGUGUAUAUCAUGAUUAGAUAGGCAGAAAUAAACUUUGAUCAAGGUUUGGACUGUGCCUUUUGGACGAUGAUCACCCAUGCAGAUCCUACGGUCAGUUGCCACUUGGGCUGCACGCAUCGUGUCUACUUCUAUUUGGUCUCAUCCUACGUAUACUAAUUCUGGUUUGUCUACAAAGAGUUCUUAUCAUAACCAUUUAACCUAAUUGCCACUUAGUGCAUGUAUCAUUUUAUCCAGUUUUCCAUUGAAACUAUACCAAUUUUGUCUAAUAUCCACUUGGUCCAACACUACUUAAUCAAUAAUGAUUAUAUGAGCUGUUAAAUAUUUGUAUGAUUAAGUAUGAAAAAUUGAAUAGAUGAAGUGGAAAUCAGACAAUCUGGGUCUUUGUCCAAGUGAAUUUAAAAUAAGUGAUGAUUGGACCAAGUGGCAAUUGGAUCAGAUUAAUACUAGACCAAGUGGGUUAAAACAUGAUAGCAUUAGACCGUCUGAUAAUGAGGCCAUCUGAUAAUAGACAAAGUGAUUACAAAGAGAAUGCUACAAACAAUAGCGUCGGCAUAACGUCAAGCAUAAAUUGGGCAGCCCUGCUUAUCAAAAUGUUUUCUGCUAUACUAAAUACACUUUUGUUAUGUGCCAUUAGGUCAAUUCUGGAUGAUUUUCCUCCUGUUUGUAUUAAUCCUACGUGGCAUCCCUUCUAAUGAAGCGAUCACCAACCGUUCACCAGUUGAUUCCUGCAUUGUGUCAUUCCUGUAGACUUUGGGAUUACCUGAUUCCAGGUAGCAAAAAAAAAUUGCCAAUCUGCGAGAAUGGGAAGUUAUUGAAUACGCAAGUUAUGAUUAGAACAAUGAUUAGAACAUCUCGGUUAUGACCGACUGUGCAGGAGGAUUCAAUUCAAAGACAAUCUAUACGCCACUCCAUAAAUCAGUGCCAGAAAUUGAUUAUCAAUGAUUAUGCUGAGGAUGGUUAAGAUGAUGAAGACCUGGAAACAGUCGUUGAUGCUUAUCCACUCAUUCAUUUCAUCUCUUGAUAAAAUAUUUCUCUUAAAAGUAUGUUCUUAGAUAUCAAGUAUUUGGUGGUGUACUUGAAACGGUUAAUUUUAUACACCAUCAGACAUAUUACCCUGUUACAUGAGCUGCUGUGAUGCAUAGAUUGUUAGUUCAGAGUUGGUCUUGCAAUAUAUUUUAAGUAUUUGAAAUGUCAUCAAGUAUGAUAAUUUAUGGCUUGUUGGAUAGUUUUGAGAUAGGGGUGCAAUUACUGAGGGAGAUUCAAGAAAUGGGCGAUAGCAUUUGUAAUAACACUAAAUCAUACUGUUGAAAACAGGUAAAAUGAAAGGAGGCAAAAUAUUUUACUGUUGUAUGCUCUCUGUAGAGUCUGCACUAUUCAUAAUCCUCUCCCUGUAUGAUUGGUAUGCUAUUUUUCAUUUCUUUUUAAAUUAAUUGGAGAAUAUGAAAAAAAAAAUUAUAUGCCCAAAUAAUUAAACUUGCAAUGAAGGCAAGCAUAAUGUCUGAGCAAGCUAAUCUUCUUCAAUUGAUGUGAUAUUGCUAAAUGCUUUCUCUAAGGCCUUGAUAAAGAACAUCUCAUUUGGAAUAGCAGAAAAAAAAAAUUUGUCAAAGGAGGUGAUAAAACCUGUAGUUAAUUGUAUCGCUAAGCUUUGUGUUACAGGAUCAGAUAAUUGCGAUGCCUCUGCAAUGAAUGCUCCAGUCGAGCCCGUACAUGACUGCUUCUCGUCGUUGCAUAACCCAUUUCAGUCAAAUACUUUGAAGUCUCCUCUCUUUUGUUGUUUUAUUUCUGUGUGCUCUUUUUUAAUCCAUUGGUUUAAUUUUUGUCAAUGGCUAUAUUAAAAAGUGUAGUGGUUUCCUGGUACACCAUGUAACCAAGAACACUUGUCUUCUUUGCCAUGGAAACCUUCAGAAGUUAUAUUCAAGUGAACACUUAUCAUACUACAAUUGCAGUUUUUCUAUGGCAUAGUCUGAACGCAUUUGUGUUCCGCCAAAUUUUUAUGUCUGAAAGAAAUAUUUGAGUUUAAAUUGCAAAAGUAAAAGACUGAAGAAAGUGCGUUUCAUUAAUUGUUCCGCAAAUAAGCUGUAAAUGUAAAGCAGUUUUAUGGAUAUAUGCUCCAUUUUGGUGGCAUAUAUGAAUGAAAGUCAGUUAGAUUUUAUGAUAACCUUUGCCUCCUUUGCUUUGAUUUUUACCAAUAUGACCCUUGACAAAAUGCAGCAAUAUUACUGUAAUAUUGUGAUAAGCGCCAAAAUUUUGCAGGGGAUCUUGCGGAUGUUUUGCACCGUCACUCAAAGUGUAUGACUAUGUUAUAUUCUUACGCAAAAGUCUUUGAUGUUUGAUGAUGAAUAUUGCUCUGCCUUUUGUACAGGAGAGAUGCAUAGGCUGUAUUGUAAUUAAGCAUCCUAGUUGAGGCCUGUUCAUGUAAUGCCCUGGUAAAAUACCACGAUAUUGCAUUAUUUUGAGGCGUAUAUGAACAGGGGUUUCGGAAAGUUCUUACUGAUGUGUGUUGAUAAUAUUUGUACUUGUAGAUGAUGGACACGAUAGAAGACUACUUUGAUAUUGCAGUUUGAGUGUACAGUGUAGUUAAAUAUAUUUAUGCUUCCUAUUGUACACUUCUGGGGGGUGUUUCACAAAGAUUUAAGUAUGACUUAGAGUCACGCUUAAAUGUCUGUUUGCGUGCGGUAUGAAAGCCAUGACUGCAUUGGUCAGAUCAUGCGAAUAGGACACGCACUACCGCGUAUUGAUCAAUAAGAUUGUGCGUUACAUAUCUUGUACGUGUCGGCAUUUAAGUGCAACUUAAGUCAUACUUAAAUCUUUGUGGAAACCCUCCCCCCACUGGUUGUAUGAAUUUCAUUUGAAAGAGAGACAUGACACAUCAUUUUAAAUGCAGUGAAAAUGAAGCGAAUUCUGGUGGGUGUUUAAUAAAGUUGUUUGUAACUUACAAGCAACUGGUUACCAUUUCUAAGGUACUGAAUCAACACAAAUAAAAGUCUAGGGCCUCGUUUCAUGAAACUUGUUACAAUGAAACUUGUUACAAUAACAAAGUUGUGAUAACAGUUAAAGGCUACUAAAAUCCUCCAAACUGAUUGGCUAAUUGAAAAUUUGAUAUAGAAACUGUUCAUUUGUUACUAUAACAAGUCUUUAUGAAACAGAAACCUGGGGGUGUUUCACAGAGAUUUAAGUAUGACUUUAGUCGCACGUAAAUGCCGAUGCAUACGUGAUAUGCACCACGCAAUCUUAUUGAUCAAUACGCAUUAGUGUUCCUCUUGGCAUGAUCUGACCAAUGCGGUCGUGCCUUUUAUAACGUGCGCAACUAGACAUCUAAGUGCGACUCUAAGUCAUGCUUAAAUCUUUGUGAACCCCCCCCCAGGUGUAAAUAAUUUAUCACACGAAAGGGUCACCAGUCAUUUGUAAAGUUGCUCGCAACACAAAAAUAGGUUAAUGAAACACCCACCUGAUUGCCCUGCCAAACAAAUACUGAUAUUGUAUUUUUAGCAGUGGAUUGAUUGUGGAGAGAAUUUAUCUUAUCUUAAUAUUCAAAAUGACAUUUUUUUUAUAAUACUUUGUAUACCCCUACCACUCCUACCUACCUUCUUUCUAUUAUAUUCUUUGUUUCCCAUUCAUAAUAAUCUUUGUUUCCCAUAUAUAAUAUUCUUUGUUUCCCAUACAUAAUAUUCUUUUCCCUCUCUUUCUCUUUGUUUCUCUUUUCUCUUUCUUUGAGUAAUCAUUGUUUCAUCUUCAACUUUAUUUUUUUUCUGUCUCUAUCAUCUUUCCCAAAUAUAUCUCUCAUGGACUAUUUUCAAGCUGUAGUAUCUCCAAAGGUAGCGUCAAACAUCUUAAUAGAAUGUUGAGACAUUAAACAGAUCUGAAAUUAGUAGCUAGUAAUUUUCAAGCAUGUACUCAAUAUUGCUCAAACUGUAGCAUGACAUUGACAUGAAUAAUGUAAAUCUAUGCAUAACUUUCAUAAAUAUAUUAAAAACUAAGUUAUAUUUAAAUUAUUCUGUGACGUAUUGAAUGCAUUGUAGAAAAUUGAGAGCUGUGAGUGAUUUGAUAAUUCACAAGCGUUGAAGUCAGGUAUGCUAAUUAUGAAAUUAUACAGUGAUAUUUUACCAUUCUGAGACAUUGAUACAUGUAUAUAUAUAAACAUUCAUUCACAAUUAUACAUACACAUGCACACACAUACCCUUAAAUUCCUUCCCAAGAUCUAGUUGAUUUGAAUGAAGAUAAGUACAAUAAAACAAAACCAAAUGGUAAAAAUUGCAUAGGAAGGUGAUGAAACACAACAUGCCAGACAUAUUUUUUAAUGUGUUGGGUACUACAUUGCUAUUGUAAUGGCAUAUUAUGGUAAUAAUUCAGGGGUAAAUCUUGUACAGCAAACUACUUCUUCAGUUUUGACCCAAUGCCUGAGAGACGUGGUGUACACAUUGGUCUUUGAGUGAGCUUGUCAGAAAAAUGUGUUUCUAUGGCUAUGACAUGGUGUUGCCAUGGAAAUUAUAUGACAUCAGGAUAUAUCUUCUUCAUGUGUGUAGUCGUUAUUACAGGGCAAUGAAUUAACCACCUUCAUUGAUAUUUCUAGUUUUAUUAAACAAAUCAACUUGAUCUUGAGAUGGAUCUUAAAUGCCAUACAAAAUGAACAUCCACAGUGUGUGAAAUGAGAAAUACAUGUAUGUUCUUUAAUUAAAGAUGUGAUUUAUUAUUAGCGUAUACUUGGAUUAAUUGUACACAGUUUUACUUUCUUCUAUGUUAUAUUAUAUUGUAGUAGCAGUUGAGGGAAUCUAUUUUUGUCAUAUUUUAGUUUAUUUGUAUAAAGAAAAGUUAGCAAUUGUGUCCAGGUUUUGUAUGCUGAAGCAAUCUAUUGACAAUUGGUGAUUUAAAAGUAGGUGUGGACAGCUGGUGUUUAGCUGAUUUUUACACCAGAACCAAACUUGAUGAAAGAUUUGGGCUGAGGCUGAUCUCACAAGGUGUUGAGUUCUCUUUAAUUGAUUUGAUGUGUUGGAGCUAGAUUAGGCAGCCUGAUUGAUUUUCUCUACACCUACACCAACACCAAACCCAUAUGAGGUGUUGGAGCUAGAUUAGGCAGCCUGAUUGAUUUUCUCUACACCUACACCAACACCAAACCCAUAUGAGGUGUUGGAGCUAGAUCAGGCAGCCUGAUUUAUUUUCUCUACAUCAACACGAAACCCAUGUGAGGUGUUGGAGCUACAUUAGGUAUCCUGAUUGAUUUUUCUUUUCACAACACCAAACCCAAAUGAGGUGUUGGAGUUAGAUUAGGCAGCCUGAUUGAUUUUCUUUUCACCAACACCAAACCCAUAUAAGGUGUUAGAGCUAGAUUAGGCAGCCUGAUUGAUUUUCUCUACACCUACACCAAUACCUAACCCGUAUGAGGUGUUUUCCUCGAUUUUGAUUGGCUGAGAAGCAGUGUUACUGUGGUAACUUUCGAAUCAAAUGGAAUUUGCGAGAAAUACUUCUGACAAGUCCAACACCUUGAGGACUAAGCUCAACCCAAAUACAGUUUUAACUCUGUUAAAUGUGGUCUAUCAUAUAAAAACAUCUUAUUGUUUAGGUUUACCUUUGUAAAAUUUUUUGUUUAAUCCAAGAAUGUGCAUUCUAUCAUAUUGAACAAGUUUCCAAGGUUAUAUAUGCAGUAUGGCAUUCGUUCGGAGUGUACAAUGUAACAAAAACAUGGAAAUAUGGUAAUAUUAAUCUACAUUGACAGCCCAAUAGACAAUAUUGGAUACAUGAUCACAUCUCACAAUAGUGCAAAAAAUAUAUACAUAUUUUUUAAUUUGUAGGUUUUGUGUGUUUCAAGUGACGGAGUCAACAAAAGUUACGAGGCUGCUUGGGAAAGUUUUCUCCCAAAGUCUUUGUACAAGUGAUUGUCCAGAGGCCGAGGCUGGCAAAAGACGGCCUUGAUGCCGGCCUUAAUAGAAAACAAACCCACAUCUAUGUAGAUGUGCUUGUGUUACGAUGGUGAGACAUAACAUGAAAUAUGAUAGGAUUU